RNAcentral lists this ribosomal RNA (484 nucleotides) under uncultured bacterium. RNAcentral's name for it is "partial 16S ribosomal RNA". It matches the Rfam family "Bacterial small subunit ribosomal RNA", at positions 30 to 507 of the family's 1533-position model. The record is from RNAcentral.
AUUGAACGCUGGCGGCAGGCCUAACACAUGCAAGUCGAGCGGAUGAAGGGAGCUUGCUCCUGGAUUCAGCGGCGGACGGGUGAGUAAUGCCUAGGAAUCUGCCUGGUAGUGGGGGAUAACGUCCGGAAACGGGCGCUAAUACCGCAUACGUCCUGAGGGAGGAAGUGGGGGAUCUUCGGACCUCACGCUAUCAGAUGAGCCUAGGUCGGAUUAGCUAGUUGGUGGGGUAAAGGCCUACCAAGGCGACGAUCCGUAACUGGUCUGAGAGGAUGAUCAGUCACACUGGAACUGAGACACGGUCCAGACUCCUACGGGAGGCAGCAGUGGGGAAUAUUGGACAAUGGGCGAAAGCCUGAUCCAGCCAUGCCGCAUGUGUGAAGAAGGUCUUCGGAUUGUAAAGCACUUUAAGUUGGGAGGAAGGGCAGUAAGUUAAUACCUUGCUGUUUUGACGUUACCAACAGAAUAAGCACCGGCUAACUUCGUG